UUGCCAUAACCCAAUUUUUUUCAGGUUGACCUCGGAUCAGGUAGGGAUACCCGCUGAACUUAAGCAUAUCA
This 71-nucleotide ribosomal RNA is filed under the name Lambertella pruni. RNAcentral describes it as "partial 28S ribosomal RNA". Lineage: Eukaryota; Fungi; Ascomycota; Leotiomycetes; Helotiales; Rutstroemiaceae. The record is from RNAcentral.